AAUGCUCGCUCUGUCCGGGGUUGGAGCUCUGUGCCGCUCUGUGCCGCUCCGGGCCGCGCCGCGCCGCGCCGGGAGGAGGCGGAGGAGGCGGAGGGGCAGCGCCGCGUCCCGGAGCUGCGGGGCCACGGCGGAGCGCAGCGAGACCCCAAAGCUUUGCGCACGGAAGCUGAGGCCGGGCACAGCUCAUUGCACAGUUGGGCCCAGGAGACCUCGAGGUGCCUCCCCCGCCCCCCAGGUACCACCCCCCGCCCGUCCCCAUGGACUGAGAGCACACGGGGGUCUCUGCAGCAGCGCAGCCCCCGCCCCGCCGGGAGGAAAGCUGGAAGGCACCGCAAAUAUGAGCGACUUCUGGCACAAGCUGGGCUGCUGCGUCGUGGAGAAACCACAGCCUAAGAAGAGGAGGAGACGGAUCGACCGCUCCAUGAUCGGCGAGCCCAUGAACUUCGUGCACCUGACGCACAUCGGCUCCGGAGACAUGGCUGCGGGCGAAGGGCUGCCCAUGACGGGCGCUGUGCAGGAGAUGAGGUCCAAAGGCGGACGGGAGCGGCAGUGGAGCAGCUCCCGUGUGUUGUAGCAUGUGAGUACGCGGCCACUGCAGGACUGGGGCAGCCCUCAGUGCCCGCCGUCACCAUCCAAGAUUCUUGGCUCUUUCAGCCCAAACUUGAACUGCCUGAUCCCCACACCGGAGGAAAAGCCAACCUCGAGCGCUUGAUUCCCGUGGUAACUUAUGCAGGCGGAGCCUCACGGCCAUCCCAGCGGCUCUGGGUCACCCCCCACAGAUCCCCCCUUCCCGGGCACCGGGCCGGCCAGGAGCUUUCCCUCCCUGUGGGGGGAAGCAGAGCAGCCCACCCUGCACCGGGAGACACCGCGCACAGCCACGAUGUGCCAAAUCCCCCCCUUCCCCCUCGCCCCACACCCCGGCUGGUACCGCUGUCUCCCAUGGGCCGCCCCCCAUGCCUCGGCUUCCCCAUGGGACAGCAGCGGGGCAGGUUGUGCUGCAGGGGCUGAGCUGGAGCGGCGUUACAGAGUCUUGGACCCCCAGCACUGGGCAUCCCGCAGCUCCAACACUGCCACCGAGCCCGCCUGCCCUCCAGCCUUCAGCCGGCAUCGCCGCCAGCAAACCUCCGCCUUCCUUCUUUUUUAGGAUCUUUUUUGGUUUUUUUUUUAAAGCUCAAAACCUCCCCCUUGGCCUCUCCUGUUGCCGCCAGGCUGCUCCCCCAGGAAGGAGGGACUCUCAGGUUCCGAAUCCAGGCGCACGUGUACAUAGUUUAAAUAGCGCCGGGGCUGAACAGGAACGAGCAGAUGCCGGAGCCAUGUGGGCAGCCGAGCUUCCCUUCCCUGCGCUCCCAGUGAUGCUGGGCUGCUCAGCCCCACGCUGCGCCCGGCCCCCGUGAGCGAGCGCAGAUGCUUGAGUCAGUUUUUAUCCCCCUGGAAAACCCACUGGAAAAACAACAAAACCCCACCUUUGAAAUAAAAUCUUGUGCUAGGCCGA
Molecule: RNA transcript, 1492 nt
Organism: Gallus gallus (chicken)
Lineage: Eukaryota; Metazoa; Chordata; Aves; Galliformes; Phasianidae
Gene: CDC42SE1
Gene name: CDC42 small effector 1
Exons: 6
Source: RefSeq, marked validated